GACGGGGGAUGCAAGCGUUAAUCGGAAUUACUGGGCGUAAAGCGUCUGUAGGUGGUGAUGCAAGUCACUGGUGCAAAACUCUGGCUCAACCGGAGGAAAGCCAGUGAAACUGCAUGACUAGAGUGUGGGAGAGGUAGAAGGAAUUCCCUGAGUAGCGGUGAAAUGCGUAGAUACAGGGAAGAACACCGGAGGCGAAAGCGUUCUACUGGAACACAACUGACACUGAGAGACGAAAGCUAGGGGAGCGAAUGGG
RNAcentral lists this ribosomal RNA (253 nucleotides) under uncultured bacterium. RNAcentral describes it as "partial 16S ribosomal RNA". It matches the Rfam family "Bacterial small subunit ribosomal RNA", at positions 524 to 776 of the family's 1533-position model. The record is from RNAcentral.